GACGAACGCUGGCGGCGUGCCUAAUACAUGCAAGUAGAACGCUGAAGGAGGAGCUUGCUCUUCUGGAUGAGUUGCGAACGGGUGAGUAACGCGUAGGUAACCUGCCUGGUAGCGGGGGAUAACUAUUGGAAACGAUAGCUAAUACCGCAUAACAGUAGAUGUUGCAUGACAUUUACUUAAAAGGUGCAAUUGCAUCACUACCAGAUGGACCUGCGUUGUAUUAGCUAGUUGGUGGGGUAACGGCUCACCAAGGCGACGAUACAUAGCCGACCUGAGAGGGUGAUCGGCCACACUGGGACUGAGACACGGCCCAGACUCCUACGGGAGGCAGCAGUAGGGAAUCUUCGGCAAUGGACGGAAGUCUGACCGAGCAACGCCGCGUGAGUGAAGAAGGUUUUCGGAUCGUAAGGCUCUGUUGUAAGAGAAGAACGAGUGUGAGAGUGGAAAGUUCACACUGUGACGGUAUCUUACCAGAAAGGGACGGCUAACUACGUG
This 495-nucleotide ribosomal RNA is filed under the name uncultured bacterium. Its description in RNAcentral is "partial 16S ribosomal RNA". It matches the Rfam family "Bacterial small subunit ribosomal RNA", at positions 28 to 507 of the family's 1533-position model. The record is from RNAcentral.